GCUUCUAAAGGAUAAAAGUUUUCUGUUGGUCUUAGGAACCAAAGGCUCUUGGUGCAAAUCCAAGUAGUAGCU
This 72-nucleotide transfer RNA is filed under the name Ceratoscopelus maderensis. RNAcentral's name for it is "tRNA-Leu (CUN)". Lineage: Eukaryota; Metazoa; Chordata; Actinopteri; Myctophiformes; Myctophidae. RNAcentral also lists the same sequence under 1 other name. The record is from RNAcentral.